AGAGUGAGGAGCAUCAGUCACAAAUAGCUGCUCUGCAAAGAGGAGGAGACAGCUUCCCACUCAUAGGCGCCUCAGGCAAAGUGCUCGGAAAGGCACUGCGAAGCUCUGACAAGAGCUCGAAGCCAGUGUACGUGUCUGUGGGCCACAAGAUCAGCCUGGACACAGCUGUCCGCCUCACACACGCAUGCUGCCGAUACCGGGUCCCUGAGCCAAUCAGACAGGCUGUGCUGUGCUUCUGCAGUGCACCAUAUGAUUACUGCAAGCCACCUGACUGCACUUGUUUUAGCUGGUGGGGAGAGGGGCAUCCGGCAGCAACAGGGACUGACUGUGGACAUCAGAGAGAAGCAGGAACAAUCUUACCUUCCUCUGUCCAGUCACCAGUGCCUCCCUCUUCAUCCUCCUUUCUUUGCCCAACUGCUCUGCUUUCAGUCUCUGACAUCCACAUUCCCUUCUGUGUCUCCCAGCAUUGCCCUCGUGUUCUCUCCCGGCUUCUGCCACAGGUACUUUCUCCUUCAUAGAUCCAGCUGCGAUGUUACGUCUCGCUGGCAGGCAAAUUUUCAUCCUUCAGGCUUUUGAAAUCACAGUCACAUCUCAUGAAAAAAGCAAAAUCAAAAAGAGAUCAACCUGACAGGAAGACUGAAUAACUGAAUACGUUUGACAGUAGAAAAUGAAAACAGGUUUUUGUGUGCAAAUGUUCAUCGUGGACAAACUAGAAAGAUGCAAAUAUAUAUAACUACCCACACUUAAACAGAUUCUGUGUCAGUCCCACACUUGCACAUACUUGGUAGGACUCCACAUCCAAAGGUUGCUUGGCUGACCAUCUAGUCAGCCUCUUGUUCUGCGUCGGCUCCACCUCAGCUCCAGUGAGGGUGUUUUUGCUUCCUUGUCUCUUUACCUUUGCUGAUGUUGAGCAGUGGGUUAUUCUCUGUGUACCAUGCUGUAAGAUUAUUGAUUUCCUCUAGAUAUAAAUCCUCUCUUCCUCUCAUCAGUGUUUAUAAUCUCACCAGAACGGUUGCGCUCUCUGCAGAGCUCACAAUAGAGUUCUCUCUGGGUCUCUGAAUGCAAUCGUGGGAGAACAGUGUGAACAGGAUGAGGCUGAACACUCAAACCUGGAGGUUUGUGGUGUGACGCUCCUGUCUGAGGAAGUCCAACAUCUAGUGUCAGAUUGUGGCGCUAAAGGCCAAAGUGCUGAGUUGAAAUCAACAAACAACAUACAGAUAUUUGUGCCUUGAUUUUCAAGGCGAAGUGGGAGGAAGUGGAGAUCUGAUCCUUUGAUGGUUCAGCCUGACUGAA
Non-coding RNA from Maylandia zebra (zebra mbuna), 1293 nucleotides. The record is from RefSeq and is a predicted model, not a curated record. Lineage: Eukaryota; Metazoa; Chordata; Actinopteri; Cichliformes; Cichlidae.